Non-coding RNA from Mus caroli (Ryukyu mouse), 273 nucleotides. NCBI's taxonomy places the organism in Eukaryota, Metazoa, Chordata, Mammalia, Rodentia, Muridae. The record is from RefSeq and is a predicted model, not a curated record.
CUUGGCCUCACGUUCCUCCUGGGAAACAACUCCUGGCCUUCGGCGCGGUGCACUGCAGGAGCGGCGGGAGCAAGUGUCAUUCAAGGAUGUAUGCGUGGAUUUCACCAAGGAAGAGUGGUAUUUGCUGGACCCUGCCCAGAAGGUGCUUUACAGAGAUGUGAUCCUGGAGAAUUAUAGCAACUUUGUCUCAGGCAUUGUGUUACUAAGCCAGAUGUAAUCUUCAAGAUAGAGCAAGGAGAAGAUCCCUGGAUACCAGAAAAUGGAUUCCGAUGC